UACGUAGGUGACCAGCGUUGUCCGGAUUUACUGGGCGUAAAGAGCGCGCAGGCGGUCGUUCAAGUCGAGUGUGAAAGCCCCCGGCUCAACUGGGGAGGGUCACUCGAUACUGAUCGACUUGAAGGCAGGAGAGGGAAGCGGAAUUCCCGGUGUAGUGGUGAAAUGCGUAGAUAUCGGGAGGAACACCAGUGGCGAAGGCGGCUUCCUGGACUGUUCUUGACGCUGAGGCGCGAAAGCUAGGGGAGCAAACGGG
Molecule: ribosomal RNA, 253 nt
Filed under: uncultured bacterium
Lineage: Bacteria
Description: partial 16S ribosomal RNA
Rfam family: Bacterial small subunit ribosomal RNA
Source: RNAcentral